UGCUGAUGGAAUAGGUUUGCUAGAGCUGGC
This 30-nucleotide non-coding RNA is filed under the name Homo sapiens (human). Lineage: Eukaryota; Metazoa; Chordata; Mammalia; Primates; Hominidae. The record is from RNAcentral.